Molecule: long non-coding RNA, 875 nt
Filed under: Carica papaya (papaya)
Lineage: Eukaryota; Viridiplantae; Streptophyta; Magnoliopsida; Brassicales; Caricaceae
Description: long non-coding RNA (CPAP_LNC007551)
Source: RNAcentral
CUCAUACCGGACGGGGUAAUGAGGUUUAUUGUUUUGGCGCCCAUACCGGACGGGGUAUGGGGACGGCCCGUUUCACCCUCAUACCGGACGGGGUAAUGAGGUCUAUGGUUUGGCGCCCAUACCGGACGGGGUAUGGGGACGGCCCUGGAAUAUGAUUUCAAGUGUUAAGGAUUAACGGGUAGCGGGACCCCGAUGGAUCCCCAUGGAUACUAGUGGGCUGGUGAAUUAGGAAAAUAUGUUGUGUAACGAUUGAAUUACGAAAAGUGUGAUAGGUAUUAUGUUAUACAGUUCAUAUAUAUGUUUUCAUGAUGAUGAUGAUGUUAUUGCUUUCGUAUAUCGUUUUAUGAAUUUCACCGAGGUAAGUAAAUGGUAAAGGUUUUAUUUUCGAUAAAAGGAUUUGUUGUAAAUUAUGCUCCAUUGGUCUUUUUGUGUUUUCUACCCACCUUUACCUCCGUGACGGUGAGAUAUCGUGAUGUCUUUACUGGGCUAGUGUAGCUCAUUCCUUAUUUAAUCAUUUCAGAUCAAGAGGACAUCGUUCCCGAGCCGAUUCCGCAGGAGGACGACGAAGGGGACGCUUAAAGACUCCAUAGUCACAUUCGUAGUUUUUACUUUCAAGUUUCUCCUUUAGGUAGUAUAAUCUUUUAUAUUUUGUGAGCACGUUUCGGUUUCAGUGUAAGGGAUGUUAUUCAAAUUUUGACAUCGCUUCCGCAUUUGAUAUUUUUGAAUAUAAAAUUCCAUUUUAAAUUUCCGGGGGUGUUACAUAAGAUCAGUUAAGAUUCAAAGAUUGAUGUUUUAUGAAUUGUCAACUCUUUCUUACAAAAAAAAAAAGAAUGUUGUUUAAGUGUUACAUGGACUAAUGGAACUUAUGUGGGGGU